AGAGGGAGUAGGCCUGGCAGAGGCAGGAAGUAAUCAGCGCUAUUGCGGCCAGUCUUGAAUAGGGUUGAAUGUGAUGGGUCAUUCCAGUUGACCUGUGAUGGUGCUUACGCUCAGUCUAACAUCAUGGAAGAUUCCAACUGAACCCUAGAAGAAGGCAUACCUAAGGAUGGAGAGAAAAGUGACAGCCAAACAAGGACCUCAAAGCUUGAAGAAUAUUAGAGCUGAUGGAGAAUUGACAGGAGAGAAGAGAAGUCUAGACACUAUUACCAGCAUGAUGAAAGGAAGAAGAAACUACUCCCUCCUCAAUACUCAAGAGACAUACUGAUUGGACCCAGCUCGGCGCCAUCAUCUCCUGAUAAGAAAGAAAGUCCUUGGAACUAUAGCUCACUUCCAUAGAGCCCAUGUAAGCUAGAGAAAGCCACCCUUGGAGUCACUGCUGGUUUCAGCUCCAUUAAGAAGCUCUGACUGAAGUAAAAACAGAAACUCAUCAACAGAUGAGUUUUCCAAGAGAGUGAAACCUCCAGG
This is a long non-coding RNA of Fukomys damarensis (Damara mole-rat), 525 nucleotides long. RefSeq lists it as uncharacterized. NCBI's taxonomy places the organism in Eukaryota, Metazoa, Chordata, Mammalia, Rodentia, Bathyergidae. The record is from RefSeq and is a predicted model, not a curated record. The transcript has 5 exons.